CGCCUCUUGUCAUUCCCCCAUAAGAGGUCCAGCCUGCCCAGUGACCCAGUUCAACGGCCGCGGUAUUCUAACCGCGCGAAGGUAGCGUAAUCACUUGUUUUCUAAAUAAAGACUAGUAUGAAAGGCAUCACGAGGAUUAAGCUGUCUCCUCUUUCUGAUCAGUGAACCUAAUCUCCCCGUGAAGAAGCGGGGAUGAAAAUAUAAGACGAGAAGACCCUGUGGAGCUUAAAACUUUGUACACUUGCCCCCCCCACUUCAUAUUAUUCAGGUACUUCACUUGAGCGGCAUUCUGAUUACACGUUUUUGGUUGGGGUGACCGCGGAGAAAAACCUAUCCUCCGCAAUGAAAAAGAAUCUUUCUUUAGCAAUAAACUACAAUCUUAUGCAUCAAAAAAUUGACACUAUCGACCCAAUAAAUUGAUCAAUGAACCAAGUUACCCCAGGGAUAACAGCACAAUCCGCUUUGAGAGCUCCUAUCGACAAGCGGGCUUAUGACCUCGAUGUUGGAUCGGGAUAUCCUAGUGGUGCAGCCGCUACUAAGGGUUCGUUUGUUCAACGAUUAAAACCCCA
Molecule: ribosomal RNA, 569 nt
Filed under: Pristimantis miyatai (Miyata's robber frog)
Lineage: Eukaryota; Metazoa; Chordata; Amphibia; Anura; Strabomantidae
Description: partial 16S ribosomal RNA
Rfam family: Bacterial large subunit ribosomal RNA
Source: RNAcentral